RNAcentral lists this ribosomal RNA (412 nucleotides) under Exiguobacterium sp. RNAcentral describes it as "bacterial SSU rRNA". It matches the Rfam family "Bacterial small subunit ribosomal RNA", at positions 388 to 795 of the family's 1533-position model. The record is from RNAcentral. Lineage: Bacteria; Bacillati; Bacillota; Bacilli; Caryophanales.
GGAGCACGCCGCGUGAGUGAUGAAGGUUUUCGGAUCGUAAACUCUGUUGUAAGGCAUUACACGUACGAGAGGAAAUGCUCGUACCUUGACGGUACCUUACGAGAAAGCCACGGCUAACUACGUGCCAGCAGCCGCGGUAAUACGUAGGUGGCAAGCGUUGUCCGGAAUUAUUGGGCGUAAAGCGCGCGCAGGCGGCCUUUUAAGUCUGAUGUGAAAGCCCCCGGCUCAACCGGGGAGGGCCAUUGGAAACUGGAAGGCUUGAGUACAGAAGAGAAGAGUGGAAUUCCACGUGUAGCGGUGAAAUGCGUAGAGAUGUGGAGGAACACCAGUGGCGAAGGCGACUCUUUGGUCUGUAACUGACGCUGAGGCGCGAAAGCGUGGGGAGCAAACAGGAUUAGAUACCCCGGUAGAA